This 995-nucleotide ribosomal RNA is filed under the name uncultured organism. RNAcentral's name for it is "bacterial SSU rRNA". It matches the Rfam family "Bacterial small subunit ribosomal RNA", at positions 356 to 1376 of the family's 1533-position model. The record is from RNAcentral.
GGGGAAUAUUGCACAAUGGGGGAAACCCUGAUGCAGCGACGCCGCGUGGAGGAAGAAGGUCUUCGGAUUGUAAACUCCUGUUGUUGAGGAAGAUAAUGACGGUACUCAACAAGGAAGUGACGGCUAACUACGUGCCAGCAGCCGCGGUAAAACGUAGGUCACAAGCGUUGUCCGGAAUUACUGGGUGUAAAGGGAGCGCAGGCGGGCGAUCAAGUUGGAAGUGAAAUCCAUGGGCUCAACCCAUGAACUGCUUUCAAAACUGGUCGUCUUGAGUAGUGCAGAGGUAGGCGGAAUUCCCGGUGUAGCGGUGGAAUGCGUAGAUAUCGGGAGGAACACCAGUGGCGAAGGCGGCCUACUGGGCACCAACUGACGCUGAGGCUCGAAAGUGUGGGUAGCAAACAGGAUUAGAUACCCUGGUAGUCCACACCGUAAACGAUGAUUACUAGGUGUUGGGAGAUUGACCCUCUCAGUGCCGCAGUUAACACAAUAAGUAAUCCACCUGGGGAGUACGACCGCAAGGUUGAAACUCAAAGGAGUUGACGGGGGCCCGCACAAGCAGUGGAGUAUGUGGUUUAAUUCGACGCAACGCGAAGAACCUUACCAAGUCUUGACAUCCUCUGACGAACGUAGAAAUACGUUUUCUCUUCGGAGCAGAGAGACAGGUGGUGCAUGGUUGUCGUCAGCUCGUGUCGUGAGAUGUUGGGUUAAGUCCCGCAACGAGCGCAACCCUUAUGGUCAGUUACUACGCAAGAGGACUCUGGCCAGACUGCCGUUGACAAAACGGAGGAAGGUGGGGAUGACGUCAAAUCAUCAUGCCCUUUAUGACUUGGGCUACACACGUACUACAAUGGCGUUAAACAAAGAGAAGCAAGACCGCGAGGUGGAGCAAAACUCAGAAACAACGUCCCAGUUCGGACUGCAGGCUGCAACUCGCCUGCACGAAGUCGGAAUUGCUAGUAAUCGUGGAUCAGCAUGCCACGGUGAAUACGUUCCCG